RNAcentral lists this ribosomal RNA (465 nucleotides) under Vreelandella stevensii. RNAcentral describes it as "partial 16S ribosomal RNA". It matches the Rfam family "Bacterial small subunit ribosomal RNA", at positions 338 to 795 of the family's 1533-position model. The record is from RNAcentral. Lineage: Bacteria; Pseudomonadati; Pseudomonadota; Gammaproteobacteria; Oceanospirillales; Halomonadaceae.
CCUACGGGGGGCUGCAGUGGGGAAUAUUGGACAAUGGGGGGAACCCUGAUCCAGCCAUGCCGCGUGUGUGAAGAAGGCCCUCGGGUUGUAAAGCACUUUCAGUGAGGAAGAACGCCUGGUGGUUAAUACCCAUCAGGAAAGACAUCACUCACAGAAGAAGCACCGUCUAACUCCGUGCCAGCAGCCGCGGUAAUACGGAGGGUGCGAGCGUUAAUCGGAAUUACUGGGCGUAAAGCGCGCGUAGGUGGCUUGAUAAGCCGGUUGUGAAAGCCCCGGGCUCAACCUGGGAACGGCAUCCGGAACUGGCAAGCUAGAGUGCAGGAGAGGACGGUGGAAUUCCCGGUGUAGCGGUGAAAUGCGUAGAGAUCGGGAGGAAUACCAGUGGCGAAGGCGGCCUUCUGGACUGACACUGACACUGAGGUGCGAAAGCGUGGGUAGCAAACAGGAUUAGAUACCCUAGUAGUC